RNAcentral lists this ribosomal RNA (393 nucleotides) under uncultured bacterium. RNAcentral's name for it is "partial 16S ribosomal RNA". It matches the Rfam family "Bacterial small subunit ribosomal RNA", at positions 523 to 918 of the family's 1533-position model. The record is from RNAcentral.
AUACGGAGGAUCCAAGCGUUAUCCGGAUUUAUUGGGUUUAAAGGGUGCGUAGGCGGACUGGUAAGUCAGCUGUGAAAGUUUGCGGCUUAACCGUGAAAUUGCAGUUGAUACUGUCAGUCUUGAGUGUGCAUGAGGUGGGCGGAAUUUGUGGUGUAGCGGUGAAAUGCUUAGAUAUCACGAGGAACUCCAAUUGCGAAGGCAGCUCACUGGGGCAUAACUGACGCUGAUGCACGAAGGUGUGGGUAUCAAACAGGAUUAGAUACCCUGGUAGCCCACACAGUAAACUAUGGAUACUCGCUGUUUGCGAUAUACAGUAAGCGGCCAAGCGAAAGCAUUAAGUAUUCCACCUGGGGAGUACGCCGGCAACGGUGAAACUCAAAUGAAUUGGCGGGG